Molecule: long non-coding RNA, 12304 nt
Organism: Gallus gallus (chicken)
Lineage: Eukaryota; Metazoa; Chordata; Aves; Galliformes; Phasianidae
Source: Ensembl
GGAAAGCUUUGCACUGAAGAAAUAAAAGGGCUUUAUGUUUAUUUGCCUCCUGAGAAGCCCAUUGUACUUAAUUUUCCUCCCUGUUCCAUAGUGAAGGAAGAGUACUUUCUAAACAUGAAGGCAUCCUGGAAAAGACAGAGACCAUGCUCUGCAAUAAGAGCAAACAGAGCAGACCAUGUAGAAGAGCCUGAAUGUGAGCUACCCUUCCAUACUGAAGGCCUACAUAUACCUGACAUAGACUUGGAUCAGCUGUUUUCAGUCUAAGCUGAUAUGCUCUGCCUGCUGAAAUGCUGCUGCCUCAUGAGAACUGCAGAAAACUCGGCUCCAUUUGCACUUCCUACCGAGGGUGCCCUGAUGGGACUCUGGGAGAAUAAAAGGACACAUCAGAGGAAAAGCUAGAUCUGCAGUAGCUCUCUUCAAGAGCCCUGCUCAUUGGUUGGUUGGUUGAUUUUCAGAGCUGCAAAGGAUGUAAGUAUUUGUCUUUUUUUUUCCCCCCAUCACAAUGGCUUCAGAUUAAAGCUGUUUGUAUUUUAAUAAUUUCCAUAGCAACAUCUCAUCAGCAUUAAUUUGGCUAAAAAAAAAAGAUAGCUGUGCUUUAUUUGUGGUAUUACAGUAAAGUCUAUAAAACAUCGCUCGUAGAAGGCGUUUUGAAAUGUGUGUGAAAAAAGUAGAGAAAUCAGGGGAGAUCAUAUUUUAUAAAGCCAGAUAAAGUUGCUGGCAGUUGGUAGCAUGGAAGAGAUAAUAGAAAAUAGGGUUUGCUUGUUAGUUUUAUAAAAAUAUACAGUAUUUAAUUCAGAAGUGUAGAGUUGGAAUAGCAACCUCCAUAUAUGUAGCAAGGAAUAGCUACUCUGUACUAUUUUUUUCAUGUAGAUGAAUCCAUGUGGUUUUAGCAUAGGCUACUUUGGAAACCACAAAAAGGCCCUUUCAGUACAGAGUAUGAGCAUCCACAUGGGCACUUGGAUCACGGUAACUAAAUUCACACCCUGGCAAGUGUCACAAUGGAUUCCCCAAACAGCAACAAGUAAUUGCUGUGAGCUGGCUGCUGUUGAGAGAGACUCGAAGGACUCCCAUGGUGGAGAGGUGGUUAGUGUCACUCGCAGGCUAAAAGAGCUCGAAGUGACGGAAGAGGAAAUGACUCAGGGCAAGAGAGGAAAAUCAACUGAUGGCACUGUUUAUUAAAGGAGGUGGAGGAAAAAUAAGCAUAACAUCAUCAGGUCUGUGCAAAGUAUUUCCAAGGUAUGAAAUUGCUAGCAUGAAUUAUGUAUCGGCAUAUCAGAUAAUCCUGUAUUUAGAACAUAGACAACAGCUGAAAUGUUGUUGUUGGUUUUUGUGUUGUUUUUUUUUUUUUUUUCCCUGUCCUCCCCUCCCUUUUCCUCUCCUCCCACCCACUCUUUUUCUCCUUUGUAAACUCUGGUGGUUUAGAUAAACUGAAACAUUGAUCUAGCCUCAUCUCCCACCAGAGUCUGCAAAAGGAAAUAUCUGCAAGCAAGAUGUUAUAUAACCAGGACCAGUUAACCAUGUGCAUCCUUCCUUUAUAGUGACUCCUCUGUUGUGGAUUCAACCUUCAAGUUACACAUUUUCAGUACAAGUAGAACAUACAAUUUGAGAACGCAAGCAUAAACAGUCUACCUUAUUUAUUCAUACCCCAAUUUGUAAACGAAAAGCAGUAGCAUAACCACUUACAUUAGUCUGACAGUAAACAAAACAAAAGAAGUCUUGAAAUGGGCAAAAAAGCAGUUCUAUAUGUCAUUUAUAGGAAUCCCUUCGCACAAAGAGAUUUCAAAGCCAUUGAUGUACACUGUGCUCUAAGCAAAUUUUUACUCCCUUUUGUGUCUGUGUCUGAAAUAGAGCACAUUCUGACAGACUCUGUACAUUUACGUUGUAUGAGCUUUGUAAAAAAACUGCAAUGUAGAAACUGCUGCAUGGGUUUGUGUGUGUUUUAUUUAAUAAUUUAAAUUAAUAGGGGAGCUAAGCAGACAGAAUGCAUUUGUUAGCUGAAGUUUUGUCAGGAUUUUGAGUUUAAUAUUACUCUUGUUAGUCUGGGACAAGCUUGGAAUAGGCUAGGAAGUAGGAUUUAGGUAAAAGGUACCAUCAUUUUAUGUAGGAGCCAGCCUUCUACAUAGUAGGCUAGAGGACGUCAGCAUUCACAAGUAAGAGCUAAAUCUAAGCAUGUAAUUUGGUGCCUGGCAGUUCAUAUUGACAUAAACACACCCGUUGUGGUCAGUUUUUGUGUUUGGGGAUAGGGCUCGCUACUUUGCUGAGCUUCUGUUUGAGAAUUGUCCUCCCAGCACUAGACUUUGUAACACUGGCUUCUUUCCUCAAGCAUCUGAGCUGUUUGUUUGCCACAUUUUCAUGGUAACAAGUUUAGCAGUGAAGUAGUAGGCUUUGAAAAAGCGUAUUUGAUAAAGACAAUAGCGUCUGUUAAGGGCUGAGGAGGGACUUCUGGUGUGACAUCGUUAUAUGCCACACUAAAUACUUCAAACAUUUGUGGGAAGCCAUUCUUGAAAUGCUGCUAAAGAAAAGAUACAUUCUUACCCUGCCCCCACACAGCUAAAACUCUGCUUUGCUACGUUUAUCCAUUGUAGCUCAUGCAUUCUGUAGGAUUUGUGUACCUUCUAUUCAUAGAACAGCUUGUUUAAAUGAAAACGCAUGCCUGUUUUGCUCUAUAAAAAGACCUUAUUUCUACAGUCUCCUUUGCUUCUGUUUGAGACAGAUCUUCCCUCAUUACCCGCCUCUGUCAUAGUACAACUGUUAGAUGCACACACACUUGAAGAGAAUGGCAGCAAUUAAACAACGUAGGUAUUGAUUUCAUUGCCAAGUAAAGCCUGGAUUCCUGUUUCAGUGUGAUCUUGUACUCUACCAUGCACAGCUGCUGUCACUCCAAGACCUGCAUCUAAGUUAAAUGUAAACGUAGGUGGAACUUUUUUGUUGGUGUACAUGUGCACACAUACAUGUGCAUGGACAGAUGUAGUCUGAAACCAAGGGAAGUCAAUGGAAAGACUCAGCACUGACAUGACUGUGCUUUAUGUUAAGAUUUACAUCUGUUAAAAUUGAUUUUUCUUCCCUUUUGCCUUUAAUGUGUCACCAAACAGAAAUUAUGUUUGUCUCUGUAUAAUGUCUUGGACAAUACAGCUUCUGAAUAGGAUUUUACUGAUUCCUGCAUAUGAAUGUAUGUGAUACAAGUUUGUACUCACCUAGCCAGCCUUCAUCUUGUUUCUCCCUAAGACAAAGAAACUGCAGAACAGAAUAGACUCAAAUAAAGUCAGCUGAAUUAGAUAUCUGUAAUGCACUUAAACUAUGUUGUUUGUUCACACACACACAUAUAUAUAUAUACAACCCCUAUUUCUGAUUGUACUGUGAUGCUAAAUCUUUCUCUGCCUUCUGCCAAUGAGUAUUUUUGUAAUUAAGGUUUAAAGGAUGGACAUGAACUGAAAAGUUCAGGUGCAACUAUGACUGUAUCUUUAAGGAGUAAAGUUAAUUUUAAGCUUUUUUAAUUCAGGAAAAACAUUUAUUCGAGCCUCACAGACAAAUGAAAUUUCAGACUGAUUUCACUCUAAGCUUGGGGAAAUGUAGCUAUUAACUAUUUCUAAGGAGUGUUUCUCUGUUAAAAAGAAAGUGUUGAUGAAAAUACAAGAGUGAUGUAAGAUGAAACCGGUCUAUAAGGAGCAGGACAAACGUAAGACAUGCAAACUAAGGAAGAAAAUCAAGACUCGUGAAAGCAAGUCAGAAAUUACUCUUUCAUUUAGGAAUCUAUGUGGCAAAGGGGAAUUUUUAUCUCAAAGAGAGCUAUUGAGGAAAAAGAGCAAGCUAAGCUCAUUCCCCGCUGCCUUCUGUCAGGCUGACUGUAGGCUCUUGAAAUCUGUUUGAAAUGGUAACAGACCUUCUAGCUUUAAAAUGCUACAGCAAGAAUGAAAUGGAAGAGUAGACAGCAAGGAGGAACAUAAGAAAGUAAUCUUGCAUUACAUGCUUUAGCUGUCAAGAAACCGUGAGUUAAGAGAACUAACUGGGUAGAGGUGGGGAUUGGUUUGUUUCUAGGAUAAAAAAUAUAAGAGAAAAAGCAAAAGAGAAGAGAGAAAUGAUUUUACUGCCUUGAUUAUUGCACACCCCCCAAAAAUCUCUUUGUUCUAUUUUUUUUUUUCACAGCCACAAGCCCUAAAUAAACAUCAGCAUCCUUGCUAAUUAUGUAUGUUAAGGUGCUCUGAGAACUGCCUGGAAGCCAAAUGUAUUCCAUGGUGUCCUAAACACUGUGCUCCACAGUCAUUCCCUCUCCAUAAUUGUAGGGUGAGGAUAGGGGUAACAGUCUUCAGGGUCUUAUAUUUUGUGAACUAUACUAUUUGCACAAUGACAUUUUGCAGCCCUAUAUCAUCUUCCAUUCCUGGGUCUCGAACAGAUUUAUAAGCUUUACGAGCAGAGAUGCUCUAUAGGCAUUUCAGAAGAAUUCUUCAAAAGCCACUAAGUGACAUUCCUUGUUUGUGAAGAACUGCUCUUGACAAAAAGCAGAGCUGUGCUUCUGUGUUUGUCUUCCUGAUAGAAAAUGUAUCUGUCAGCUCUUAUGCUGAUACAUUGCUAUACCCACCUUUCACAUCAUCAGGCUUUCACUCUCCCCCUUGCCCCAUCCAUGUGCCCUGGUUAAGUAGAUCGCUCUUCUCAUGCCCCUUGCAUCAGCAGCAGUGGUGGCAGGUGAGCCCUCCCUGGCAAGCAUGCUGUGGAAAGAGCAGAAUUACAUCUCCUGCAGAGACAUAUUUGCCUCAGCAUCUUUAUCCUUUUGUGCCGCAAAGCUUAAGUCGAUACAUGACAUGAAGAAAGAUUUAGCAUCGCUAGUAGGUGAUGCUUUUACAGGCAUGGAAAACUUCACAGAUGAGCUCUGAGCCUGCUGCAGAAGCACCUGGGCAAGCUUUGUUCUAUGCUGUGUGAGGGCUCAGGCUGGCCUCCCUCUGCAAAAGCAGGGAGGUCAAACCAUGGGGUUCACGUUGCUUGUGCUUAUCAGUGGCUUACAGGAUUACUGGCUAUAGAGGGCUGCUAACCUGCACACAGGACCUACUGGGAAGAGAUAGUAUAAAUGAAUUUAGAUUGUCACUUUGGGGCUGAUCUGUGAAUGUGAGUAGCCACUCCCCGUCCACAAAAAAUCACAUGGAGAACGCCACCAAAAUUAUCUAGCCUUUUAAAACAUAAUUUGGGAACUUAAACAAAGCCAUAGAGAAUCUCAGAAUUCUGUGCUGGCAGUGUGCUUAGGAGCACUCAUCAUGUGUGACUUCUCAGCUGUAGUGAAUAAGGCUUACAAACACAUCUACGGUGCCUGCAGUAGGUGGGAGAAAGCCCGUGCCAGUCAGGAGUGGGGUAGUUCCAACAAGAAAAAGAAGACUUUUGAGGAUUUCAUUAACUCUUUAGUUAUGUCUUCUGUAAAGCUGUGCAGUCUCUGCUCUUUAAAAAUCACUUGCCAUAGACUAUAUCUUCCAGUCAGGCCAAAUCAAGCAGAAGCAUGCACAGUGUCAUGUCAGAAACAUGUGUGCUGCAUCUACACAGCGUAGGGCAACUCUCUGUUCUCCAGUUCUGACACUGCUUGCAUCCAGAUGGAUGCAAACUGCAUGUGAUAGCAUUUCCUAAGCAUACCCAUGGGGCGGACUGUCUCCUCACAAGUUGGGCCUGGGGGCAAGUGCCACAUUGGUCCCCACUCCUGGGAUGGUUCAGCCUUCCUGCAGAAGCAAGAAGAUUGGGAGCAUCUUUAUCAGUAAGCACAUGCUUCCAUCUCCACAAUUGGCAAUACUGGCUGCCGCAGAUUUCAGAGCUCAGCAGGAGAAGCCCUGGCCUCUCACUGAAGCGAGAUCUUGCCUCUGUGAGGAGCAGGCAUGCCUGCCAUCUGGACAGACUUAAGACAAGGCCAGAAGGGUGGUUUGGCCACAGCUCAGUCAUGCUCAGUCCUCAUGCCGCAUGUGAGUGUGAAUGCAGCAAAUCAAAAGCUGACAGGGCGACAAACCCAGUGAUUCACGUUUGCUUCUUAACAAUGACACUUUUCACCCUUUGACCUAUCUGGGGAAGGUCCACUGACAAGGAGCUGCUCCAGAAAUGCGUAUCUCUCUGACUUGGGGCUACAUGAAUGAAGUGGGAUGUCAGCUAAGCACAGGGGGUCACUCAGAUGCCUUUGAAAACUGAGAUUGUGAAUUAACAAUACAAAAGGCAAAUUUGGGGUAGAGAUGCGAUUUACGGGAGGAGGGAAAUGUAAGGAAUUCUCACUUUAACAUUUGAGGGCCUGAAGCGUAUGUCUGUAAAGCUGAUUUCCCUGGACUUACUCUUACAAAAAACUUUUAAGUGUAUUUGUUUCCCUGGGAAACUGAAUUGGCAUAUUUAUUGCAUUGCCUCCAAAAAAUACAUUUUUAUAAAUGGCAGAUUUUUCAGGUAAGUCUGGAUAAUAUCUGACAAGUAAUAAAGGAUAAGUGUUAGGGAAGAAAAAACCAUUCCUCCCACUGAAUCUGAUUUUAAUGAAGUUUUAACAAAUAAUACACUACUACAGUUACUUCUGAUCUCACCUAUAAUAGGAUCAUUCCUGAGUAGCUUCAUUGACUUCAGUAUCUUUAUGUUAGUUUAUACAACUAGAUUCUGAUGUAAGCCACUGUAUGAAAUAUCUGGUAUACUGACCUGUCUGCUUCUUGUUCAUAACUGUUAGGUUCCUGACUACACUGAGAUAACACAAUGCAGUGUUGAUGGAUAUGUCCAUUGCUACAGUCCAAAAUGCCUUUUCAGUGGCUUUUUUUUCCCCCUUUUUUCCCCUUCUCUCUUCUAUAUAUGUACUUAAAUACUAUUUUGGAAGUCACAUUUUUCCAGGCGUCACCUGGUUAUGAGGACCUCUUUAGAGAGAAGUAUUUCAGUGAAGCUCUUUUUAGAAUUACUGUCCCGAGCACCAUGGCAGUUUAAAAUCUCCAGUGCAAAACUGACUGCUGUAGGCAGUGAGAAAGGGGGGGAGAAAUGAGAAAGGGGAGAGACUGUCUUGUCUGUUUUCCUGAUCAGCUGUAACUUUGUCUUCAUUUUGCUUUUUCUUCAUUUGCUUUGUCUUCAUUUUGUUUUUCAACACAGUCUCUGGUGGUUUGUCUUGUCCAGUUUUAAACGAUCCGUGGGGUAAAAGUUGAGUAUUAGACAAAAGAGCACUAACUUUGUGGGAUAAAUAUUUGGAGAUAUAUAUUUUCAACAGAAAUCAGUGAGAAGAAAAAUGAGUAAGGUAGAAUCUAAUCAAUUACUCGAUCAUAUCCUUGCUUUUCUUAGGAAGCGGGUGCUUGAAGCUGGCUUCUUCUCUCAUUGCUCCUCAUGUGGUUAUGGAGCAAUUCCUCUAAGUAACUGCAAUCACCCCACUGGAAAACCAACACUUGUGAGAGCAGAGCUGAGUGCGAUGGCCACAUCUCUCCAAGAAAAGCAAGCAGCAGCCUUAGCUGAAGUAUUUUGGCCCCUUCACCAAGCAGCAGCAAAUUUUGAUGCUUUGUAGGUCGGGUUUCCUCUCUGAGAGCAGGAUACAGAGGUGCUGACUUGGGUAUUUCCUUAGGGUAAUGAGUCUAUUUAAAGUACGCACAGACACUUGCUGAUUACCACAAGGGUGGCUAUAAACAGCAUGCAGUCAAUUCUCCUUUGCACAAACAUCACUUGCCCCAAGAAACCAAUGCUUUGGCAUCCUUUCUUUUCAGGGUGCUCCCCAAACCCAGAGCAGCUGCUCAGGUACAUCCAACACCUUUUUUUUUUGCCUCCAUCCCAGCCUUUGACUGCGAGAAACCCUUCCCCGGGGCUGACCCCGUGGUGUGGAAAAGUGCCUGGAUCAUUAUGCCCAGCUUUUAUAUUGCUGCUUCAUUACACAAAGGGAAUUAAAUUCACAGGCAAAUAGGAGAGCUUCAACCUACAGUGUCCUUAACAAUUUUGUGUGCGUGGUUACUGCUUGGGAUUUUUAACUUUUCUGUGAAGAAAUUCAUCAGGGUGUGAUACAUCAUUUGCAAGUCAUUAACUCCUUUCACCAUAGCAAUACAUUUUCAAACAACAAUAGUGCUCUUCAUUGAAGCACUUAAAAAUAGCAUUCUAGUGCUAAAGGUUAUCCGGUGCCUUUCUACUGUAUAGCGUGUCCAUGACUAUAUAGUGUGUCUACUGUAUAGUGUGUCUGACAAUUUGCACUGCGUGUCAGUGAUUUAUUUGUGAAAUUCCUAGAGGGAAGGGACAACCUGUGUUAAAGUCUCAGUGCAUCAAAUUCAAUGAUGUGUAAUAAAAAAGGUAACAGUUGAUGAUGUAAACAUAUUGAGGAGGUCGUGAGGAAUAUGCUUUCUACCUCCAAAGAUGUUGAGAAUUGGUAUCUAAGGCCAAAUGAACUGGCAUCGUUGUUGCAAAGCUCAAAUAUUAUUUUAAUGCCAUCUGGGAGAGACUCACCAGGGUGGUGGGAGGAGAGAAAGAGGCUCACACUCAGUAGCACAUAGCAAGGGACUGGUGCUGCUCCCUGGCUCUACAGCAUUGCCACAGAUCUGACCUGGAUCUGACCCUAGGGUGAUACCCUGGCCUUACCCUGGUGCAGGACACUGGCCCGUAGCAGGGCUUUGCAAUGCUGACCCUCCUUAGGGCCUCAAAGCACCAACCAAUGGAACCCGUCAGUGCAGGAUUGUUUUCUAUUGAUGCAGGACAUGAACUGCUUCCAAUAAUUUUAACCUAGACUGCAGAUUUACACCAGCUGAAAACCUGGCUCCAAGCAGACUGCGAGGGAAUUUCCUUGACUUUUCUCCCCCUUCCCUUUAGAAAUGAAUUACUGCUGCAUGUUUUCCAUUUUCCUAUAAGCUUUCUAUCCAGUGACCCAAACACUCCAAAAUAAACACGUACAUUUCCUUCCUUGGUACUCUAUGUCAGGAUCUAUUUAACUGCCUCUGCAAAAGCAAGUGAUCCUAAAAAUCCCACAGUCGUGGUUAAACAGAAGUUUCCUUUAUUUGUAGAGCCAUCUCUGAGCAUACGCGCUACCCUUCAGCACGCAUUCACGUUCUUGCAGCGGUUAUAGGUGCAUUUCCUAGGGCUGCACACUGAUGCUGGACUCUAAGUGGCAUUAAACAAUUUUGAUAUAACUUAUUCCAGUUCAAGUCUGGAACAAAUGCAGCCGUUCCUGAUCAAUUCUGAGUGUGCGAGCUGAUAAAUAAAUGUACAGUGGAAUCUUCUGAAAUGAAAUGGGAUGAAAACUGAGUUACAGUGCAGCAAAGCAGGACCUACUAUCUCCAUGAUGGUGACCUUUGCUGAAAAUGCAAUUCUAGCAUUGGAGUGUGUGUAGGUGCGAGGAAACAGUUAUCUGUGCUGCUGCUGCCGGUGCUGCAGACACAUGCUACUUCUUUCUGUGUUUGUUUUUAUAUUAUCACGUGUAUUAUAGUAGCAACUAAAGGUCUAAACUGAGAUCAAAUAAUUGCUUUGCAGGUUGCUGUAAAACACAUGCAUUAAGGUAAGUGUAAUUGGUCUGGCUGGAGGUGUUGCGCAAGGACAGCAGAGCAGGAUGGUGAGGCAAGGGGCAGGAGCUGCGUGUGGGAAGACAUGCUGUUGCUGCUGCUGCACUGAAGAAGAAUCUGCUAUAAGGAGACAUGCUGGUAUCACCCUGCUUGUACCAUAACUCGCCAUGCUGCUGGAGGGUCUGGCCACAGGACUUGUCCCAGGUAGUUUACCUUCUACCAAGUGAGAGCACAAAAAUUAGUAUAUUCAUUCUUGGUUUUGGUUCACAAGAUAAUCUACUAAGAGUACAAGCAGGCUGUUUUAAGGGCUCUGUGACUGGGAACGUGGAUGAUGCUUGCCUCUCUCCCCACAUAAAAUCCCAUCACUGUGAUUUAGUGGUGUGGUAAAUGCACUGUGACCGCACAGAUUUUGGCGUUGGUGUGCAUGAACACUGAAGUCACGGGGAUUCCGUGCUGCCAACAUUUGGACAGCCCAACUGUGGGCCAUGUUCUAGCCCCAUUGCUGCAUAUGUGUGCCACUCAUGCAGGACCUCUUGCUGUGUGCAGGUUUUCUGGCUUUUCCAGCAACUGCAUCUCCUGGGCUGGCUCAUACCCCGACAGAGCCACCUCCCAAAUGCAGCAGUUUGUGAUGAAGGCUGCCCUGGGAUUCUGCUUUCAUUUUCCCAGGAGAGAUGGGGAAAUACAUCCUGUCCAAGACAUAUGUGAACAGCUACUUCUGCUGGAAUGCUUUCAACUUCUUUAAAAAAGACCCAUUAGGUCCUCAUGCACUGUCCUGAGCUGUAGCAACACGCCCAACCUAGAGGUCUAGGUAAAACAGGCAAAAGACCAUCAGGGUGGAAAAAAGGAUGUAGUUUCCAAAGCCCUGACAACAAUUUCUUUUUUCCUGAAGUAAAAAGUCUCCAGCAAAAGAGUAGCUGGAAAGAAAGAAAUUCAUUCUUUUUCUCCUUAUGCAACAUUUUAAUAUUUUUCCAUGUGUUUCUGAUUAUCUCAAGGAGAUGUAUAGUUUUACCACACUCCAGAGAAAGAAAACCCUUGGUGAGCUAGAAAUCAGCGAGGUCUCAAGGAUUUUAAUAAUACUCAGGGAUGUGUGUGAAGGCCAGUGAGUGAAGGCCAGCGAUGCUGAAGGGAAGGUGAAGCUAACGCAGAGCGAGACAUGUACAGGUGACAGAACUGCCAUUUCCUGAGAGCAGGACUGCGCUCCAGGUUCUGUUAAAAGGCAGGAUUAAUCCAGUGUUUGGCUCCAGUGUGGCUCCUGCCCUGGCUCAGCCACACAUGUAGAAUCCCUUCACUGCUGGCACAGCGCUUUAAGUAGGAGAGAUUUUUGCUGACUCUAACUGUUUUGCUUUGGGCAAAGUACAGGAUCUGAUCAGGCACUCAUCCUUCUCCCCAGAUCUCCCCAACUCAAGAAGGAGUCACAAAAUUCAUCAGGAGAGCAUCACCGAGCAGCCAGCCCUCACACAACACAAAAGACACAGAUUGUAGCAACAUGCAAGCUCUCUCUUUCCCCUUCACAUGUUGUCCUCAGUCCCAUAGGAGACAGAUCAGGUCCACAGAGCUGCAUAUCAGGGUGUCCUGGGUGAUGUGCUGCACCAACAAUAGGAGCUAAGUACCUAAGUGCUUGAUUUAGAGAGGCAGUUUGGACACAACGCUGAUUUUUCCAAGUGUUUUUGGGCCAAAUCCGAAGAAAGCCCAUUAACUUCAUUGGCUUUGGAUGAUGUCCCAUAUACACAAAACUUGAAGAAUGAUGCUUUAAAAGAAAUACCAGAGUUAAAUCGGGACAUUUUAACAAUUCUCUUUGUAUUUGAAUUUAGUGGCUGUAUGCUGACAAUGUAAUUAGCAAGAUGCUAUGUUAAUUAAUGCCAGAUGACAUUGGUGGGAUGGCAAAACAUCCAGUUUUCUGAAGAAUAGCUCACAGUUGAACUGUUCCUCUCUCCCCACCCCAUUUUUAGCAGAGGAACAUACUCAGAAAGUCAGAGACAGCUGAAUUAAACCAAAAGUCAAACCAUUUACAAAUAUUUAAAAUGUGGCCUAUCUCAGCACAUCGCUUGCAAGCCAAAUCUAAUCUUAUUGCAGAAAAAUAUAUUAACCUUCUCUCCUUAGACCCCGCAUACAGAAAAGGAGAAUUUGAAGAGCAUUGCGCAGUGGACAAAUCAGCUGUCACUGAAGCUGAAGGAGCAGAAUUGAGACCUGUCCUUCACAUAGCAGAGCAUUUGAACGGUAAUUUUCAGUUUAAGGAUUGUGGAUUUCUUGGGAUCAACCAGCUAAUUAGAAAAGAAUUUGCAGUAACAUGGAAAAAUACAUUCGCAUACAAUCUGAGUUCCUACAUGUUAAGCUUCAAUCUAUACGUGUAAAAAUUGUAAAUAAAUUUGAUAAGGCACAGAAAUUAACAUCACGUGAGAACUAUAGCGUGUAUCAUUUUAAUUCAUAUAUUUUCAAUUGCACGCAUAGAGAUAUUUAUCUAUGGAUAUGGAAACUUCUGUAUUUAAGUUCGUGGUCUUUUACUGUAUACCUCUUGGAAAUCCUGUCUUGAGUAGAAUUAGCGACUAUGAUUGCAUUCUACUGUGUCGAUGAGAAGAAUUUGUGCUGCUCUAGACGGGACUUCAAAUCUAGUGGUCUUACUAGCAGUAGGGCGGUAUAAUGAAGUUGGCAGGAUUUCCUUAGCAGUCUUUAUUUUCCUGAGAGGAGAGGCCAAAAUGGUAAAAACUAAAGGCUGGUACACCCCACACAGCAGAGCUGUCCCCAGUGCUGCUCAGGGGUGACACAUGGACUCGUAUCAGAGCCAAAUGACGUGCCUGCAUGAAACCAAAUGCACAGCCAAUACGAAUUCACACAGUCAGGUCAGGAACAUUGUCAUCCACACACCUUAC